GACCCCUAGCCUGGGAACUUUCAUGUGCCACAGGUGCAGUUCUAAAAAAAAAAAUAAUAAUAAAGCUAUUAUGANAAUCCCCAUGCUGGAUCACUCCUCUCUGCUGUGCCCUGUGUGGGCCCUCACCUCAGCUUUGCAGUACUGACCACCUGCUUUGUGUGGGUUUCCUGGUCUGCCACUGGAGGCUGAAACCCCGUGCUAAGAAGUGGUUAAAUGAAUGAGUGACAUGAAUUCCAAUGAAUAAUAAUAUCAGUGUGCCUACCAUCUCUUGUGCCCUCGGGGCCAUGGGAGCUGCUUGCGUGCAUGCCUGAGAGUCCUUCUUGCCGUGGGAACCGAGGAAUCACUCAGGCCCCAGGCUGCCAGGUGGGGAAACUGAGGCCCAGACAGAGUGCAUCUUGUCCAGAGGAUCUGGUCAGCAGCUCACCAGGCGUGAACCCUCUGAGUCACCCUGCUGGGUGUGGAGGACAGGCACAAUGGAAGAAGAGCCCCUCUCCCUCCACAUCAGAAGGCUACUAGUCUGAUGGUGGAGGCUCUGGACCCACCAGGAGUGAAGGUGGAAACACUGGAGGUCAAAUUAGGGAGUGUGUGUCUGAGCUGAAAAGGGGGCCUCUGCCACCAUGGAAGUGCUCCACCCCCAAGGCUAUUGUGAACAAAGGGUAAUCCAAGCACUUCUGGGGAGCUCACCUUUCCCUAGCUGUGGAUGAACAAAUCAGAACAUUGUGAGAAGUCAGAUGUCUUCUUCCUUUUGAGGACUGCACACAAGGGAUCCCCCUUCACCCACCUGGGUUUGGCCCACAAGGCUGGGUCCCUUCCUCCAUGUUCCCUUCACGUGUUCCAAGAUUUGGAUCAUACAGUAAAGGAGAGAUGAAAGAGCAGUGAAAGAUGUACCCAUCCAUGACAGAGGAAACUGACCUGGGCUUGGUCCCAGGACUUGCUGACACAUGCUGUAACGUGGAUGAACCUUGAAAAUGUCAUGUUAGGUGAAGAAGCCAGUCAUAAAAGACCUCUUAGAGGUCAGAGUUCCUGUCGUGGCUCAGUGGUUAACGAAUCCAACUAGGAACCACGAGGUUGCGAGUUUGAUCCCCGGCCUUGCUCAGUGGGUUAAGGAUCCAGUGUUGCCGUGAGCUGUGGUGUAGGUCACAGACGCGGCUCGGAUCCUGAGUUGCUGUGGCUGUGGUGUAGGCCAGUGGCUACAGCUCCAAAUACACCUCUAGCCUGGGAACUUCCAUAUGCCGUGGGUGCAGCCCUAGAAAAAGGC
This 1258-nucleotide long non-coding RNA is filed under the name Sus scrofa (pig). Its description in RNAcentral is "lncRNA (ENSSSCG00040040748.1)". Lineage: Eukaryota; Metazoa; Chordata; Mammalia; Artiodactyla; Suidae. The record is from RNAcentral.